RNAcentral lists this long non-coding RNA (1168 nucleotides) under Marmota monax (woodchuck). Lineage: Eukaryota; Metazoa; Chordata; Mammalia; Rodentia; Sciuridae. The record is from RNAcentral.
CAGAAUCUCACAGUUAUAGUUCUCCUACUGAGCUAUGGAUUCUAAAUUUUGCUUCGAAAGUAAAAGCUAAAUCAAUACACAAAGGACUUCUGUGUAGCUAUGAUGCUAUUCAUUACUGGCUUCCCUGUAGGUUAGAUAUAUCUGUGUUUCCCAGUGUUCAAGGUCUGGAGAGCAUUUUUCCAAGCUGGUGUCUUCCAGGCAAGACUUAUUUGCAGGGACAGCUUUUUCCAGGCUUAUGUCUGUGUGCUUCUGCUGUGUUGUGAUUCUCACCUCUGUGCACGGUACUGGAUGUGCCUAAACACUAUCUCAAGCAGCACCACUCUGGAAAUUAAACGAUUGGGCACUAGUCACCUAGGAAGUGAACCUACAAACAAAACACACUCUACUUUUUAAAUAUCAAAAAAUUUUUUGUGUGUGGUACUGGGAAUGAAACCCAGGGGAGCUCUACACUGAGCCAUAUCCCCAGCCCUUUUUAUUUUUUUAUUUUGAGACGGUUUCUCACUAAGUUGCCCAGGCUGGCCUUGAGACCCUCCUCCCUCAGCCUCCCAUGGCACUAGGAUUAUAGGGCUGUGUCGCUGUGCCCAGCACGUUUUGUUUGUUUAUUUAUUUAUUUUUCAGUAUUAGGGAUAGAACCAGGGGCAUUUUACCACUGAGCUACAUCCCCAGCGGUUUUUUUUUUUUUUUUUGAGCAGGGUCUAAGUUGCUCAGGGUCUUGCAAUGCUGAGGCUGGUCUCAAACUUAUGAUUCUCCUACCUCAGCCUCCUGAGUUGCUGGGAUUAUGCCUGGCUUCAUUUCUUUUAGUUUUUAAUAGUAGAUGGACACAAUACAUUUAUUUUUUUUUUUAAUGUGGUGCUGAGGAUCAAACCCAGUGCUUCACACGUGCUAGGCAAGCACUCUACCAACUGAGCUACAGCCCCAGCCCUCAUUUCCUUUAGUUUUAAAAGACAAAGUUGCAUUGGGAUCUGUUUGUGCCAUUUAGUGCUGUGCAAUUGGAUAGAAACGGCCUGUGGUCAGUGGGUGACACAGGGAGGACCGUGUUGUACAUUCACACUGGGAUGGUGAACUGGAAGAGCUUCCGGAGAGGGCGAGCAUAUGCUGCAUCCAGUGGGAUAUCAGGCUGCCUGACAGUUGCUGAAUCGUCCAAUCCUGGCUGUUUGAAGUCCUUUGC